Molecule: ribosomal RNA, 395 nt
Filed under: uncultured bacterium
Lineage: Bacteria
Description: bacterial SSU rRNA
Rfam family: Bacterial small subunit ribosomal RNA
Source: RNAcentral
AUUGAACGCUGGCGGUAUGCUUAACACAUGCAAGUCGAACGGUAACAGGCCUUCGGGCGCUGACGAGUGGCGGACGGUGAGUAACGCGUAGGAAUCUGCCUCAUAGUGGGGACAACGUGGGGAAACUCACGCUAAUACCGCAUACGCCCUACGGGGAAAGCGGGGAGUCUUCGGACCUCGCGGCUAAUGAGAUGAGCCUGCGUUAGAUUAGCUAGUUGGUAGGUAAAGGCCUACCAAGGCGACGAUCUAUAGCUGGUCUGAGAGGACGAUCAGCCACACUGGGACUGAGACACGGCCCAGACUCCUACGAGAGGCAGCAGUGGGGAAUAUUGGACAAUGGCGCAAGCCUGAUCCAGCAAUACCGCGUGUGUGAAGAAGGCCUUAGGGUUGUAAAG